AUCCACCACGUCGAACUCAAGCACACUCACCACUAUGCGGAAUCCACCAACACAAUGGUUGAGCAACACUCUUCUCUCACAGGAAAUCCACCUAAGAGAUAGGAGCAAGAAGAAAUCCUUCUUCUCAAAUAAAAGUAGAAACUUCAACUCAACUUGACUUGUUUUUCAUUAUAAAAAUCAUUACAUAUUUAUAGGCUCUCAAAUGACCCUUCAUCUUCUCUACACAUUAAUGCACUCUUUAAUUUCAUAGAGAAACUAAAAGGCACUUUCAGAAAUACUAAAAGACACACAAAUCUAGACUAUCAUAACUCAUUUUAAGAAAACGAAAAGACAAUUAUAGAAAAACGAAGGGACACACUUAUUUCAAAACAAACAUUUAUUAAGUGAUUAAUG
RNAcentral lists this long non-coding RNA (393 nucleotides) under Ananas comosus (pineapple). RNAcentral describes it as "long non-coding RNA (ACOM_LNC040834)". Lineage: Eukaryota; Viridiplantae; Streptophyta; Magnoliopsida; Poales; Bromeliaceae. The record is from RNAcentral.